Molecule: ribosomal RNA, 407 nt
Filed under: Klebsiella pneumoniae
Lineage: Bacteria; Pseudomonadati; Pseudomonadota; Gammaproteobacteria; Enterobacterales; Enterobacteriaceae
Also listed under: 1 other name
Description: partial 23S ribosomal RNA
Rfam family: Bacterial large subunit ribosomal RNA
Source: RNAcentral
CUCAUCACAUCCUGGGGCUGAAGUAGGUCCCAAGGGUAUGGCUGUUCGCCAUUUAAAGUGGUACGCGAGCUGGGUUUAGAACGUCGUGAGACAGUUCGGUCCCUAUCUGCCGUGGGCGCUGGAGAAUUGAGGGGGGCUGCUCCUAGUACGAGAGGACCGGAGUGGACGCAUCACUGGUGUUCGGGUUGUCAUGCCAAUGGCACUGCCCGGUAGCUAAAUGCGGAAGAGAUAAGUGCUGAAAGCAUCUAAGCACGAAACUUGCCCCGAGAUGAGUUCUCCCUGAGACUUUAAGUCUCCUGAAGGAACGUUGAAGACGACGACGUUGAUAGGCCGGGUGUGUAAGCGCAGCGAUGCGUUGAGCUAACCGGUACUAAUGAACCGUGAGGCUUAACCUUACAACGCCGAAG